UUAGUGAACCUGAGUAAACUAAGCUCC
This 27-nucleotide non-coding RNA is filed under the name Mus musculus (house mouse). The record is from RNAcentral. Lineage: Eukaryota; Metazoa; Chordata; Mammalia; Rodentia; Muridae.